Molecule: unclassified non-coding RNA, 240 nt
Filed under: soil metagenome
Description: partial contains 5.8S ribosomal RNA, internal transcribed spacer 2, and large subunit ribosomal RNA
Source: RNAcentral
AAGACUAUAGACCUGCGGAGUACCUGCGGAAGGUUCAUUAACGUAUCUAUGAUGGGGUGCGGAGCGCCCUGCUCCGGUCGAACGGCCGUGCAGCGGGUGCGCCGCCCCCGUCCCACCUCACAAACCCACUGUGAACAUUCACCGGUGGAGGGGGCUCGGUCUGCGCCGUGUCCCCGAUGCCGAAUACCCAAACUCCAGUUGCAAAGAACGUCGUGCGGACUCGGUGCCGCCUAAAACAUG